Long non-coding RNA from Apteryx haastii (Great spotted kiwi), 552 nucleotides. The record is from Ensembl. Lineage: Eukaryota; Metazoa; Chordata; Aves; Apterygiformes; Apterygidae.
AUGACCUUCUCUCCCCAGGACUCAGUCAUCAUUCUCUGCUUUAAAACUUGGCUGCCAUGGAGACAGAAUCAACUCUCACCCUGGGAAAGACACCUUCCUGGGCAGCGGAGGAACAGAUCAGGGAGUGGACAGUGUGACGAAGUCAGCAGUGAGGAGGAGAUUUGGGACUCGGAACCCCAAGYGAGCGGAGGCUCCUGGUCACAGCUGUGGUGGCAGCGCCCGUGUUCGAGCAGGGGUCAAGGCUUCAGGCACAGGCUGGUGCCUAGCAAAAACCAUCGCCUGUCUGCAGGCUGCUCGCCUCCCCUCUGUGAGGCCCAUGGACCACAGGCACCAAGCACAAAGUGGAAGAGGGAAGCCCAGUGCUUGGAAACAGAUGCCUGUCAACCACCUGCAAAAGUUGAACUCAUCACACAAGUAUCUGUGACUGACUCUUGCAGUACGAGAGUCUGGGAGAUGAUGGGUAAGGAUCAAAUCUUAUUAAUACUUCUAUGCAAGUUUCUUUCCAGUUCCUUCCUCCUUACAAUGGCCCAAGAACAGACUAGCCUCACAUAA